GUGAAUCAUCGAAUUUUUGAACGCAAAUUGCACUCUCCUCGGAGAGUAUGCCUGUUUGAGGGUCAGCCUAUAAAAAUUCACCGUGGUGCCUGUUUCGCGGUGACAUUCGUCGGAAAUGGGGUCAUCUUAAACCUUUUGGUUUUAGAGGCUUAUAAAAUUUUUUUUGUUGAUUCAACGAUUCUUAGAA
This 187-nucleotide unclassified non-coding RNA is filed under the name Glomus sp. RNAcentral describes it as "partial contains 5.8S ribosomal RNA and internal transcribed spacer 2". The stretch from base 1 to 65 matches the Rfam family "5.8S ribosomal RNA", at positions 84 to 154 of the family's 154-position model. Lineage: Eukaryota; Fungi; Glomeromycota; Glomeromycetes; Glomerales; Glomeraceae. The record is from RNAcentral.